CACUGCUGACGAGUCUCAAACAGGACGAAACAGCUGUCCAGUUG
Echinostoma caproni is the source of this 44-nucleotide non-coding RNA. The record is from Rfam. NCBI's taxonomy places the organism in Eukaryota, Metazoa, Platyhelminthes, Trematoda, Plagiorchiida, Echinostomatidae.